AAUUACUAACCAGGCCCAGGGUCGGGCCUGGUUAGUACUUGGAUGGGAGACCGCCUGGGAAUACCAGGUGUUGUAAGCC
RNAcentral lists this ribosomal RNA (79 nucleotides) under Poecilia reticulata (guppy). Lineage: Eukaryota; Metazoa; Chordata; Actinopteri; Cyprinodontiformes; Poeciliidae. The record is from RNAcentral.